UACCCGCCUCCUCUCUCAUGCGCGGCCGCAGCCACCGCAUGCAGCCUCUCUCUCUUCAUCUGUUCCUCAGAUCCGCGCCGCUCUCCUCAAGCAUGGUGCUCUCUCCAUCCCUCAGAUCCGGCGGGGCAGCGGCCGUAGCAGCACAGCGAGCGGCGGGCGCCGAGUUACAAGCCGGAGUGCGAGCGUGCCGAUGCCUGGGCGUUGGGGCACAAGAGGGCUAGCUCUGCCUUGCGCCGGUCACCACGGCUCACUGCGGCAGCAGGGGAAGAGGCAGCGUCGGGGAGCAGGAGAUGCUCGUCUCUGCAGGCAGGAGAUGCUAGCCACUCAAGAUCUGGUUGUGGAGCAGGUCUCGAGAUCUGACUUGUUGUUACAGCAGCAGUAACUCGAUCUAUUUAGUCUUUUGUUCUCUGUGCCUGUUAGUCUUUUGUUCUCUGUGCCUGUGAUUUGGUUCCGUCAGUGAUUCUGUUUCGUUGGAUCUCCGUGCUUUGAUUUUGGGUCUGUAGCUCCAAGAAAAUUCAUUAUGUGUCCCCGUAGCUACCUGUUUCUACCUUGUCUUAUCCUCAAGUGGCACCAUAGCUUACUGUGAUCUAAUUUCUUCUUGUGUGCCUGCCUCUGCAGCUGGUGUUUUGUGCUUUUAUGCUCAGCUCGGCCUUCUUUCUUGUUCGCUGCCUCAGCUCUCGGUUCUCUGCUGUUUUAUUUGCGAUUCAUUAGUCGGCAAUUCAGAGCAGCAGCGUUGUUUUCCUUUGCUUAUUGAUUUGCUGCUGCUAGAGCCUGGCUGGUCUGUUUUGAUUGCCACAGGCCAACAACAGUACAUGAUCCAAUCUUGCCCUGACCUUUCAAUGGAUUAGUAUUUUGGCUUUUUCUCUGUUCGUUUUUCUCUCUCUGUCCGACAGUAGCAAGCUGUAAGCAGCAGCUGCAGCAAGGUAAACAACUUAUUUUCAGCUCUACUUACUUGUCUUUCUUCUUUUUGGUCGAUGGCAGCAGUAGCAAACAAAUAAAGUGCAGCUCAAUAUUGGUUGUUUAUUUAUACUGAGAAACAAUGAAGGCUAUCAUUGCAAGGCACCAUAGAUCCCCUGACUUGUUAGCUAACUGGUGCUGCUUCUUACUUGAUUAACGCUAUCUGGUGGUAGGUAACUUAUUUCUGUUGCUCGAAAUAGCUGCAGGCUAAUGCCAAAUCUUGGUUAUUCUAUUUCUUAAUCACAGGAUUGUAACUGCUUUGAUUUGUCACAGCAAGUCCAGGAAACAAAACAAACAAGGAUCAAAUAUCAAGAGGAGAAUCGGAAGAAGCAAGAUGAGUUGGAGAAGAAAGUUGAGCUGCUGCUACGUGGUCUGUUAGCUUUUGGGGGAACUAUCUUUGGCAGGAACCAAACUUUGCUGCUACAAAAUUUUGUUGGUUUGUUAGGUUGAACUUCAACCAAACUUUGCUGCUGCUGGUUCAUAUUCUUGAUGAAACCUAUCUUUUGUUGUUUUUGGUUAAUUAUGUUGUCUUGGAAGUUGCUUUGCUUGAUUUUUUAGCAGCUCAGUUCGCUUUCAACUAGCUGUCAGUGCCUGCAACUUCUUCUCUUCUUCUCUUGGAUACACGUAAUUGUUUUGGCGUGGUGCAGAAGCCCAGGAAACAGCCCAGACUCUACUUUUAGGAUGAAAUGGUAGAAGGAACAAACAGUGAGAAGAGAUUGGAAAUUUGAAGGCAAAUGCUGGAAUAUUUGAUGUUUUUGUUUCUAGUGUUGCUUUUGAUGCAAGAUGAAUGUAACUUGCAUGUAAAUUUUGAGGUGCUUCUCAAUGUAAAUCAUACGAUAUUGUAUUUAA
Long non-coding RNA from Panicum virgatum (switchgrass), 1806 nucleotides. RefSeq lists it as uncharacterized. Lineage: Eukaryota; Viridiplantae; Streptophyta; Magnoliopsida; Poales; Poaceae. The transcript is spliced from 2 exons. The record is from RefSeq and is a predicted model, not a curated record.